Molecule: ribosomal RNA, 497 nt
Filed under: uncultured bacterium
Lineage: Bacteria
Description: partial 16S ribosomal RNA
Rfam family: Bacterial small subunit ribosomal RNA
Source: RNAcentral
GACGAACGCUGGCGGCGUGCCUAAUACAUGCAAGUUGAGCGCUGAAGGUUGGUACUUGUACCAACUGGAUGAGCAGCGAACGGGUGAGUAACGCGUGGGGAAUCUGCCUUUGAGCGGGGGACAACAUUUGGAAACGAAUGCUAAUACCGCAUAAAAACUUUAAACACAAGUUUUAAGUUUGAAAGAUGCAAUUGCAUCACUCAAAGAUGAUCCCGCGUUGUAUUAGCUAGUUGGUGAGGUAAAGGCUCACCAAGGCGAUGAUACAUAGCCGACCUGAGAGGGUGAUCGGCCACAUUGGGACUGAGACACGGCCCAAACUCCUACGGGAGGCAGCAGUAGGGAAUCUUCGGCAAUGGACGAAAGUCUGACCGAGCAACGCCGCGUGAGUGAAGAAGGUUUUCGGAUCGUAAAACUCUGUUGGUAGAGAAGAGCGUUGGUGAGAGUGGAAAGCUCAUCAAGUGACGGUAACUACACAGAAAGGGACGGCUAACUACGUG